GAUUCCACUGUGGCUAUAAUAGCUCCCAUCCUUUGUUGCCUGGGUCCCUCUCAGCAGUCAUGCUGAAAGCGGUUUUAUUAAGACCAGGCAGAUUUGAUUUCUUGGAAAGAAUCCUGGGAACAUUGUCACAUGAACUUUACCAAAGUCUGUGUCUGAUAAACAAGGAUCUUAUUCAGAUUCAAGCAAGAGGGUAUGCUUGUAGCGGGCCAACUGCAGGAGUUGCUGAAUUGGGUCUGCCUGGGACAAGGUAGACCCUCUCUCAGUACUGGAAGCAUUAUUUUGAUAGAGUGAGGAAAACCACAAAAGUAAAAGAGGUUUCGAGGCGCUAUUUUAAUAUUAUUCUCAGAACCAAGGGGAUUAUGACAUUUGGCUAGUCUAUGGAAAUAAGCUUGACUUUAGAAUUAGAAAAGGGGAACUCCUAUGUUAGCAGCCACAGUCUUGGCAAUUAGACACUCAGGUAGCAAAUGAGAGUUUCAGCACUGCAACACCAACCAGUGGAGGCUCCUGUGGUGGCACUUAAUGAAUGGGAAAGAGCAUCUUUGAGCUUUUCUUUUAGAUCUUGGAAAAUGGAAGGAGAUUCUGGGGAACCCGGCGCCUGCUGAUGAAGAGGUCUAGAUCCUCCUGCCUGGGAGUGAUAGGCGUUCUCCUGUUUUUGUGCUGUGUUUGUCAGCAGGAUCCUAGGAUUCCCAAGAUGGGAAUGCAAUCGGUCCCUGGAAUUUUCACCAUCCUAACACUCCUUUGGUCGUAGGUAAAUUGAUUACUGCAGCUCAAUUGCUCUGUGAGCAAAGCACUCCGUCUGUUUUGGUUCUCAAUCCUCACUCUUCAUCUGUCAUGCAUCAUAUAUUGUUUUUUUUCUGCACUGUUACCCACAGUGACAGACUAGACAAGACUGUGUCAUUGACUACAGACUUCAUUGC
This 917-nucleotide long non-coding RNA is filed under the name Equus caballus (horse). RNAcentral's name for it is "lncRNA (ENSECAG00000053479.1)". Lineage: Eukaryota; Metazoa; Chordata; Mammalia; Perissodactyla; Equidae. The record is from RNAcentral.